Molecule: RNA transcript, 3635 nt
Organism: Nerophis ophidion (straightnose pipefish)
Lineage: Eukaryota; Metazoa; Chordata; Actinopteri; Syngnathiformes; Syngnathidae
Gene name: endonuclease 8-like 1
Exons: 4
Source: RefSeq, a predicted model, not a curated record
AACACGCAUGCGCAUUAAGUGGGCGGAUGUAAUGAUUUCGAUGGGAAGAAAUAAUAUUCAGCAUCGAAGGAAUAACAACUGAAAUCAUCCCGUCCUGCAGCAUGCACCUAUGUGAAUGUGGAGAAUGACCAGCAAUGUCCAAGGGGUAGCAGCAGGGUAACACUGCAUGAGGCGGUGCCCCCUGAAGGAGCCCAAAACACUGCUCUUCAAAUGGAACACAUCCAACCUUCAGGUGACCGUGCAGGAUGUACCACUCUGGAACAUCAAGCCUCUCCCCACCUGCCAGGUACACCCACCGUCUUCUGUGGCUGAAUAAUGUUUUGCUGUGAAUUUUGUCACAAAGCAAAUCCUGCUCAAAUGUGACAAACUUUGGAGUGUAAGAAUGUGAGCGAUAUGCUGAGAUGUUAUACGUUUUGCCUUGUGACAAAAUGUUAUCAAAAAACCUUUAGUGAUUUGUAUUCUAUUUUAAUUUCAGCACAUGAAAAUAUUUCUACUUCUGACCAUCGAAGAGAAUGGAAAACCAUUUUCCAGAUCAGCCCUCAUACAUCCUCCUGAUGGCCUAACAACUGAAUGACAUGUCGAUGCUGAGUAUGAUCCAUUUCAAUCAUUUGAGGAAGCUCUCCCUGAUAUAGGGGAUUGGAUGUACAAUGACGGACAUACGUUUAAUGAAGGAUUUGAAGAUGGUUUGAGUGAGGAGUGUGCAGAAGAGUCCAAUUUCAAGGACACAACAGACAAACCAAUACAUGACAAUGCAUCAGAAACCAUGGCAGAGUGCCUUCUGAUCAGCAUGGGUUAUGUAAACUGUCCUAAAGUCACAGGUAAGGCCCUAAGCCAUAUGCUCAAAAUGUUCAAGUUGCUUUAUCCCGAUAGUCUGAACACAGACUGCUUAAACAGUGUUCCAAAACUUUUUUUUAUCCCACUCUGCAUCAUCGCCUACUAUAUUACAUAAAUCCUCCAAGAAUUGUUUUGGGCCAAUAGAAAGUAAACAAAUAAAAUGCCUGCUUUGUGGGACCAGUGUGUCAGAAGAAAGAUUCUCAUCCUUUUUUUAAAGUAUGUACAGAUUGAUUUCUUGUUUACCACAGCACAUUCAUGUGCCAAAUGGGCCCUCGUUGGUGAAUAUAAACAUGCAGGUUUUUCUUUGCUGCAAGAUAGUGUAACAUAUGAGACAUGCAGUCAUGUUAUUCCCCUAUUGGAAACCUCUGCAGUACAGUAGUAUUCUUGGAUGACAUAUUGGGUAAAGUUGUUUUCCUUGACUUCACAUCUAUGCCUGGCAUAGUGAUUGCAGUUCAUUUCCCCAACACACUUGACAAGUUUGAAAUAAUGAAGAACUGAACUGGCCUAAAAAGCCACAAAUCAAAUCUUUAAUCAUUGUUAUAAAUGCUCUGAAAAUACACACUGAUGUGAUGUUGCCGUGGAUUCUGUAAAUAGGUACUGUAUAUGGAGUAUCAUUGUUGAUGAUGUUUUUGCAUUGUGUGUAAUAUUUCAGUGGCAAAUAUAUUACAUUUACUUGUUUAAUAAAGCCACUGUCUUUUUUAAUGAAUACAUAGGCCUACUAUGCUACUGCAUUUUAAUAUUAGUCCUUAUGAUGGUGGUUGGAGAGCCAAAUAUCUUCUGAAGUGGUACUUUGUUAAAAGAGUUUGAGAACCACUGCUCUAGAAAGUUCACAAAUGUUAAAAGCUCUUACAAAGUGUCUUGUGAUCAUAUCAGUAUUGUUUGGGUUCAGUUUUAAAUCUCACAAUUGUAGUCACUGAGUUACUGUACAUGACGUGUGGAUAAGAAAUCAACAAAUUAAGUCCAACUUUAUUUAAAUAAACCAUUUAGAUUACAGACCAUAUAUCCAUAUUGUCUGAAUUCAUUAUUUUCUCCCAAUGUUGGCAUGAGAUCAACUGGAAUAUGAUUGAGGUAUAACUAAAUUGAGCCCAUUAGAAUGCAUUUUUUUAGAAAACGGGUAUAUCUAACAACUCAAAUAGUGAGCAGUGAGAGACAAAACCAAGUAUAUCUCUCACUGAGACAUCAUUGAGACAUAUUGAAACCAAUACUCAUCAAUUGUCUUUUUGCCGAAAUAGAAAAGAGACAUCUGAGAACUCAAACAGUGAGUAGUGAGAAACAAAACCAGGUGUUUCUCUCACUGAGUCAUAAUUGAGACAUAUUGGAGACCAGCUCAUUCAUCUCUCAUUUUGGUCUUAGUUGAAAUGGGGAAAAGAGAUAACUAUUAGACAACUAUGAGAUCUCUCAUAGUGCUCACUGUGAGCCUUAUUUCUCAGGAGAUACAUUUGAGAAGAAUGAGAAAACUACUUUGGUCUCCAUUAGUGCUCUUUUAUGUCUAGGAGAUAUAUAUAAGACAUACAUGAGAUCUCAUCUUCAAUUUUGCUUUGCUAUGGGAAACAAGUGUUUGAUGAGCAUUCCUCAACUUUUUCGGUCUUUUUUGACACUCGUGCCAGCUUUUUUUAAGCAUGUUGCAGGCAUCAAAUUCCAAAAUGAGCUAAUAUUUGCAAAAAAAAAAAGUUUCUCAGAUCCAACAUCAAAUAUCUUGUCUUUGCAGUCUAUUCAAUUGAAUAUAAGUUAAAAAGGAUUUAAAAAUCAUUGUAUUCUGUUUUUAUUUACCAUUUACACAACGUGCUACUUCACUGGUUUGGGGUUUUGUACAUGUUGACAGUACAUUGCAGUGUUAUUUUGUUACAGCCGUGCCCACUGUGUGAAGUACUUUUGCAAGACUCCUUAGUCAAAAGAAAGGAAGCAAUAAUAUUACACUUCACCAAAGAGCCUGCUGUAAAAGAAAUGACCAUUGAAUGAAGAUACAUACUCAGGUCACCGUGAUCUGAAAAGGAGAGUGAAGAAUGUUUUUGUAUUCCCCAGAUUCUAAUCAUCUUGGAUGAAUAAACAAGCAAUUCCUAAUUUCACUUGGAAAUGUGUUUACUAUAAAAGUGUAGCACUGUUUCCACACAAAAUACCUUCUGUUUUUGAAAAGAUGCCCAUGCGUGUCUUCCAGGUUGAACAUUCCACCCUUUGUGCCUGCCCGGACUGUGCUGGAAGGCCUCGAGUCAGAGGAUGCGUGUGAAGACAAGAAAGCUGUAAAAAAGGAGAUCCAUAGCAAAAAGGGAGCCAAAAAGGACAAAAUGGAAGAGGAGAAUACAGACCUGCUCAGACUUUGCCACACAGUACCGCUGGAGGUGGUGAACUUAGGUAAGAAUCCAUGUUUCAAGGUUGAUCGGGGUGGGGGGAAGACAACGACACAAAGGUGCUCCUCUUAUUUAGACUUUUUGUUUAUGGAGGUGGGAAAGGUUACGAUCCAGAGAAGAAAGACUACUCAGGUUUUGAGGCCUGGUUGCAGUGUUACUAUGUGGAUGGAAUGAAGUCUGUACGCGACCACAAUGGCAGGACUAUGUGGUUCAAAGUAUGCAAACACAUUUUCAUACGUAACAACUAUAUUUGUAGCAUGUAUUGACUAAUAGAAAAUGGUGUCAUUUCAGGGCGAUCCAGGUCCUAUGGCUCCUAAAGGUAAACGCCAGAAAAAAUAGUUGAGAUACCAUUACACAUAAGAGAAAGCUUAGUGUGUCUUUAUCUUUUCUCACACACCAGAAUCAAAGUCUCCAAAGGCCAAAAAGAGAAAAGAUACAGAUGCAGACCAUGAUUAC